This 3913-nucleotide unclassified non-coding RNA is filed under the name Pectinophora gossypiella (pink bollworm). Its description in RNAcentral is "uncharacterized LOC126371185". The record is from RNAcentral. Lineage: Eukaryota; Metazoa; Arthropoda; Insecta; Lepidoptera; Gelechiidae.
UAAUUCCAACGGCGGCGUGCAUUGUCUCCAAUGUAAGCAAAGAAAGGCAUACACAAGGUAAAGAUACUAUAUUGUGUUGCUUAUGUGGCAAAAAUAAUCAUGUUAUCUUUCAGUGUACAAAGGCAAACAGCAUGACGUUGGAGGAGAAAAUGAACAGCAUCAAAAAAUCUGGUUUUUGUUUUAUCUGUCUCAAGAAGGGUCAUUUAGCAAAUAAAUGCAAAACAUUUACAAAAUGUUUGUCUUGCCAUAAGAGACAUAAUGUAAUCCUGUGUCCCAACGUACAUAAAACAGAAAGUACCCUGUUUACUAAACAUAAUGAAACUUUUUUACAGACAUUGAUAGUAACAGUCAGCUAUAACGGGAGAAACAUGAAAGUUAGAGCGUUGUUGGACAGCGGUUCGCAAAGGUCGUACGUCAAGAGUUCGGUAGCAAAAGAAUUGAAGCUAGAGAAGGUAGGAACAGAAAACAUUAAACACACAUUGUUCGGAGGUACCACGGGACCCGCUCGAGUCUACAAUCAGAGAAAGUUAAACGUAAGUAAUAUAGAUAACUCAUUCUCUUUUCAGAUGUUAGUACUGGAGCAACCAAACUUGUGUGGGAGCCUACCUAGUAUAAAGGAUGAUGCAACUUUGUUGCAAGAAUUAAAAAGCCAUAAUAUUCAGAUCAAUGACAAGAACAUUGAAAUAGGGCUUUUGAUAGGUUCAGAUUACUUUGGGUCCAUAAUGACAAAUAAUUUGUUUUCCAUUAAUAAAAGCUUGCUAGCAGUGGAGACAAAAUUAGGAUGGACAAUACAAGGACCUACACAAAUGAAUGAUUCCACCGUGAACAAUGUCAGUGUGUCAUACGUGUCACAAUCAGAUAUUUGUAAUUUAUGGAAUAUUGAGCUGUUAGGCAUUAGAGACCCCUAUGAAAAACAGGAAAAAGAAGUGAUCAAAGCAGAAAUAUUAAAAUGUUUUAAUAAUAAUAUUUCAGUAAAUGAAGAUGGCCGCUAUGAAGUAUCUCUGUUAUGGAAGGAAGGGUGUCCAGAGCCUGACGCAAACUACGACGUAGCGCAAAAACGACUGCAGAGCACUACGAGAAAACUUAUAAAAACAGGUAACCUUCAAUCAUAUUCUGAUGUUUUUAAAACAUGGCAGAGAGAAGGUAUCAUUGAAGAAGUGAUAGUGGACAAUAAGAAUGAAGGCCACUACAUUCCUCACCACACUGUCAUAAAGCCGUCUAGCACGACCACGAUGUUACGACCCGUGUUCGAUGCGUCGGCUAAAGACUGUAAAGGUUUGUCUCUGAAUGACUGCAUAGAUAAAGGCAUUAACCUUAUUGAACUCAUACCUAAGCUGUUAAUUUUAUUUAGAAGAGGAGCUUAUGGAGCGAUUGCAGACAUAGCUAAGGCUUUCUUACAAAUCUCAGUCUCGAAGAAUGACAGAAAGUAUUUAAAAUUCUUGUGGUGGAAGGAUUUUGAAAUGCAGCAAGAAGUAGUUACUUAUCAACAUAAUAGAGUUAUGUUUGGGGUGAACUGUAGUCCCUUUCUUUUGGCUGCCACAAUUAAUUUCCAUUUAGAUAACUGUGGUAACAAGUAUAGAGAAACAGUUCAAAAGUUAAAAGAGUCCUUUUAUGUGGACAACUGUACAGCCAGUUUUGAUACAAUAACACAACGUGAUAACUUCAUUUCACAGUCGAGAGAAAUAAUGGCGAUGGCGAAAUUCGACCUACGUGGCUGGGUUACUGCUCCUGAAAGAAUGGAAGGAGCUGUGAAAGACACCCACGUGCUGGGAUUAACGUGGAAUACCGAAGAGGACACUUUAUGCUGUAACAUCAAUUCUAAUGAAAACUAUAAAGGAAAAAUCACAAAGAGAUAUUUACUGUCCGUGACACAGCAAAUUUUCGACCCUCUAGGAAUCGUCUGCCCGGCGACAGUUGUACCUAAGCGCCUACUCCAAAAAGUAUGGAAAAGAAAAUUCGACUGGGAUGAAGAAAUAUGUCCAGAGCUAGCACGUGAAUUCAAGAUAUGGCAAAGUACAAUACAUCUACUAAAGAAAUGCAAAAUACCUAGACGGUUAACAGCAGCACCAAUUAAGAAGUGUAAUAAUAGCAUCCACACUUUUUCAGAUGCAAGUGAAGACGCAUAUGCGGCCUGUGUAUACCUGCGGACUGAACAGGAAGGCAAGGUGCAUGUACAACUCAUAAUAGCUAAAAGCAGAAUCGCCCCAGCGAAUAAGAAGAUGUCUUUGCCACGGUUGGAGUUGAUGGGGGCUGUGAUAGCCUCGCGACUGUACAGAGAGGUCAUUGACAGUGGACUCAUGACACCAGAAACAAAUUAUAAUUCUUAUUUUUGGACAGAUUCGACCGUAGUGCUUGCAUGGGUAAAACAACAGCGUCAAUGGAAACCAUUUGUAAGCAAUAGAGUAAAAGAGAUAUCAAGAAACUCAGAUAUAGACUCAUGGAAUCAUAUAUCGGGGGAUUGUAAUCCUGCGGACCUGCCUUCUCGCGGUUGCAAUGCAAAUGCGCUGCUCGAGAAGCGUUGGUGGGAAGGACCGACGUGGUUGCGUAACAGGCAGGAUUGCUGGCCCAUAUCAAGUUCAAUACAGGCUAAACCAAAUGAAGAAAUUGUAAGAAAAGAAGAAAAAUCACAGUCUCACGUAAACAUGUCUGUUACUGAACCUCUGUUUAGUAAGAGGUUGUUGUAUUUUUCAAAAUACAACAAAAUAAUCAGAUUGGUAGCAUGGUUACUUCGUUGGAAUCCUAAGGUAAGGAGACAAUUUGCCGUAGCUAGCGACUUGUCUAACGACGAGUGUGUGUAUGCGGAAAAAACAUUAUUUAAAUUGUUACAGAAGGAGGAUUUCGCCGGGGGACAUUUACCAAACAACUUCAAGACACGACAAAGCAGCGACGGUGUACUUAGAGUCAAGACAAGACUGGAACUAAGUCACGAACACAAAGAUUUCGUAAACCCGAUACUGUUAUCUGGAAAAAACGAAAUCGUGAGACGGUUCGUACGACAGCGACACGAGAUUCUACAACACGCAGGGACACAGACUUUAAUGUCUAGCAUCAGAAAUGAAUUCUGGGUUUUAGGCAUAAGACGUCUCGCAAAAAGAGUUGUUUCAGAAUGUGUCAUCUGCAAGAAGUACAAAUGUAAACAUUACGAAGUUCCAGAGGCACCCCUGCCCACAGACAGAGUGGAAAGUGUGACGGCCUUCCAGACUACAGGCAUAGAUUUUGCGGGACCGUUGGUUCUACGAAAUCAGACGAAAUGUUGGAUCGCUCUAUUCACGUGUGCGACAUAUAGAGCAGUACACCUCGAACUAGUGGAGUCAUUGUCAACAAACAGCUUCAUAAUGGCACUACGAAGAUUCAUUGCUCGAAGAGGACGAAUACAAGUCAUAUACACGGACAAUGGAACAAAUUUUCAAGGUACUGCUAACUUGUUAAAUAAUGUGGAUUGGAAGGAAGUCGAAGUUACCACAGCCGUACUACCACAGCCGAUAAAAUGGAAGUUCAUCCCGCCCGCUUCUCCUUGGUGGGGAGGAUGGUGGGAACGUCUGGUGCGCGUCAUGAAGGAAAUGCUACGUCGGAUAUUGGGAAAAGCGUCAUUAUCAUGGAUAGAGCUGACCACCCUGCUAUGUGAAUGGACUAUCCACGGCAGAGACACCUGAUUUAGACGUAAUCGAUGCUCACAAUAUGAACAUCAGAUUGCGGUACCUGCAGACCCUGCGGACGGAGUUUCGACAGAGAUUUAGAAAUGAAUAUAUUUCGUUACUUAUUAGCAAGAACAAAGGUAACGACGGCAUAACAAGAGUCGCGAAAGUACAGACUGCGAUGGGAGAGAAGAUAAGAAGUUGUCAACGCCUCUACCCAUUAGAAUUGUCGGCAGUCACUGACGAGUGGCAUACACCUACUGUCCCUAAGCAAGGUG